AUGAAGAUGAACAAAGAGUACCCAUAUAGGCACCACAAUUGCACGAGUCCAGCAGGUGCUGAGAAGUACUUAAGAAUGACAUAUAACCCAAGGGGAACAAAUGUCACAUAG
This 111-nucleotide ribosomal RNA is filed under the name Triticum aestivum (bread wheat). Its description in RNAcentral is "partial small subunit ribosomal RNA". The record is from RNAcentral. Lineage: Eukaryota; Viridiplantae; Streptophyta; Magnoliopsida; Poales; Poaceae.